CUUGCAGAAUCUUGAAAUCAGUCUUUUCGGUACUCAGCUGCAAGCUCAUGAAAGCCAAACUUUUCAAAGAUAUCACUGACGAUUCGGCUGGCAAUGAAUGAAAAGGCAGAUGCCCCAAACGCCAUUCCGGUGUAUUCAGCCAUGGUCCUGAGUUUUUGCAUGCGGAAAGCGUAGGCUUUGGCAAAGGAGAGAGAGAUGACGCAGACCAGAGAUGCAGCAAGAACAACCGCAGCUUUGUAGUGUCCCUUGUCGGUUAUUCUGUAAGAGAAGGCGUAGCAGAGAGGAGGUAUCACACCGAAGAAGAAGAAGGAAAGCACAACGACGACGCAGUGGAGCGUGAAGUUCCUUUUGUUUCCCAGCAGUGUUUGGCAAAAAAAAGAAAGGAAACAAAACGACUUACGUUGUUACAGAUAAUAAUAAGGCCACUGGAUAGACUCGCUAGCCCCAAAGAGAUAACGUUGACUGCAACUCCGGAAGCGACAGCGGAGGAUACGACACCGAGGCUUGUGAUGGACUCGAUAAGACCUCCGUACACAAUACUCUUCAAGAUGUCUAGCUCUCUUGGUAAGUGGUUUUGAACUAGAACCACGAUAUAUUUCAACAUUGGUAAGUGGUUUUGAACUAGAACCACGAUAUAUUUCCACAUUUCCUUUGGAUUUGGCACUGAAAUAGGAAUGCUGAUUGGUUUAUCAUGAUCCUCUGUAAGUAACACUGGACUAGGGUCAUCGAUUGGUUUAUCACUAACAUCAGGUUCCCGGGUCGGAUCCACAUUGGAUUUCCACAAAACAUCUGGAAGUGGCACUGAAAUAGGAAUGCGGAUUGGUUCAUCAGGUGCACGAGGCGGAAACAAGAUGGGAAACAAAGGUUGAAGUCAUCAUUCCAACACAGAAUCAGAGAGUUGAGGGAAAAAGUGCGAUACCUUUGUUAUCCAGCUGAGUAUUAGGCGUGAUGGUUUCUUCGCUCCUAGAUGUGUUUUUGUCAUCUUAAGCAAAUAAAUGAGAAAGAGGGUCAGGGAAAGAUGACAAAGAUGAUGAUCUCCUGUUAUAGUAAUUUUACAUGUGAAAAUACCUAGAGCUUUAUCUGUACUACUAAGACGGGGUUGAGGUUUUAUAAAAGUUUGUGGAAUAACUCUUUUGCUCCCUACAAUAUAUAUAUAG
RNAcentral lists this long non-coding RNA (1157 nucleotides) under Arabidopsis thaliana (thale cress). RNAcentral's name for it is "potential natural antisense gene, locus overlaps with AT4G27850 and AT4G27860 (AT4G27852)". The record is from RNAcentral. Lineage: Eukaryota; Viridiplantae; Streptophyta; Magnoliopsida; Brassicales; Brassicaceae.